CCUUUGUGUGUGUGUGUGUGUAUGUAUAUAUGUAUAUGUGUGUAUACAUAUAUACAUAUAUACACACAUAUACAUACAUACAUACAUACACACACACACACAUAUA
RNAcentral lists this microRNA precursor (106 nucleotides) under Marmota monax (woodchuck). The record is from RNAcentral. Lineage: Eukaryota; Metazoa; Chordata; Mammalia; Rodentia; Sciuridae.